Molecule: ribosomal RNA, 1463 nt
Filed under: Nostoc sp. Us-7-5
Lineage: Bacteria; Bacillati; Cyanobacteriota; Cyanophyceae; Nostocales; Nostocaceae
Description: bacterial SSU rRNA
Rfam family: Bacterial small subunit ribosomal RNA
Source: RNAcentral
GGAUGAACGCUGGCGGUAUGCUUAACACAUGCAAGUCGAACGGUGUCUUCGGACACAGUGGCGGACGGGUGAGUAACGCGUGAGAAUCUGGCUCUAGGUCUGGGACAACCACUGGAAACGGUGGCUAAUACCGGAUGUGCCGAGAGGUGAAAGGUUAACUGCCUGGAGAUGAGCUCGCGUCUGAUUAGCUAGUAGGUGUGGUAAAGGCGCACCUAGGCGACGAUCAGUAGCUGGUCUGAGAGGACGAUCAGCCACACUGGGACUGAGACACGGCCCAGACUCCUACGGGAGGCAGCAGUGGGGAAUUUUCCGCAAUGGGCGAAAGCCUGACGGAGCAAUACCGCGUGAGGGAGGAAGGCUCUUGGGUCGUAAACCUCUUUUCUCAGGGAAGAACACAAUGACGGUACCUGAGGAAUAAGCAUCGGCUAACUCCGUGCCAGCAGCCGCGGUAAUACGGAGGAUGCAAGCGUUAUCCGGAAUGAUUGGGCGUAAAGCGUCCGCAGGUGGCUAUGUAAGUCUGCUGUUAAAGAGUCUAGCUCAACUAGAUAAGAGCAGUGGAAACUACAUGGCUAGAGUACGUUCGGGGCAGAGGGAAUUCCUGGUGUAGCGGUGAAAUGCGUAGAGAUCAGGAAGAACACCGGUGGCGAAGGCGCUCUGCUAGGCCGUAACUGACACUGAGGGACGAAAGCUAGGGGAGCGAAUGGGAUUAGAUACCCCAGUAGUCCUAGCCGUAAACGAUGGAUACUAGGCGUGGCUUGUAUCGACCCGAGCCGUGCCGUAGCUAACGCGUUAAGUAUCCCGCCUGGGGAGUACGCCGGCAACGGUGAAACUCAAAGGAAUUGACGGGGGCCCGCACAAGCGGUGGAGUAUGUGGUUUAAUUCGAUGCAACGCGAAGAACCUUACCAAGGCUUGACAUGUCGCGAAUCUUCUUGAAAGGGAAGAGUGCCUUCGGGAGCGCGAACACAGGUGGUGCAUGGCUGUCGUCAGCUCGUGUCGUGAGAUGUUGGGUUAAGUCCCGCAACGAGCGCAACCCUCGUUUUUAGUUGCCAGCAUUAAGUUGGGCACUCUAGAGAGACUGCCGGUGACAAACCGGAGGAAGGUGGGGAUGACGUCAAGUCAGCAUGCCCCUUACGCCUUGGGCUACACACGUACUACAAUGCUCCGGACAGAGGGCAGCAAGCAUGCGAAUGCAAGCAAAUCCCGUAAACCGGAGCUCAGUUCAGAUCGCAGGCUGCAACUCGCCUGCGUGAAGGAGGAAUCGCUAGUAAUUGCAGGUCAGCAUACUGCAGUGAAUUCGUUCCCGGGCCUUGUACACACCGCCCGUCACACCAUGGAAGCUGGUAGUGCCCGAAGUCAUUACUCCAACCUUUCGGGGGGGAGGAUGCCUAAGGCAGGACUGGUGACUGGGGUGAAGUCGUAACAAGGUAGCCGUACCGGAAGGUGUGGCUGGAUCACCUCCUUU